AUAUAUAUAUAUAUAUAUGAUCUAGGUAUAUAUUAUUUAAUUUUAAACUGUAUUACAACUUUAUUGAACUUUAUUUCAGGUAGCCGGGGGACUAUCUGUCAUUCCAGGCUGUCCUACUGCUGGCACUGCUAUGGACCUCUCGAUCACAUGGUCCAGGAGGGUCGGAUCAGCAUCAGGGGGACUCCCUCGGAUGCCAGGCAAGUCCCCCCAUCGCGAUUGCCGGCGGGGGCUCGCCAGCGAGUAGGUAAUUCCCCUGGACGUCAUGGACGUGCUAUGCGAGAGUUCAUUGCGGAAGCCGCAAAGACCAUGUUUCUGCA
Pelobates cultripes (western spadefoot toad) is the source of this 317-nucleotide non-coding RNA. The record is from the annotation of a GenBank genome assembly. NCBI's taxonomy places the organism in Eukaryota, Metazoa, Chordata, Amphibia, Anura, Pelobatidae.